UAACGGCGAGUGAAGCGGCAAAAGCUCAGAUUUGAAAUCUGGUAUCAUUUUGGUGCCCGAGUUGUAAUCUGUAGAGGAGUAUUCGAGUGUAGCUUUGGCUUAAGUUCCUUGGAACAGGGCGUCAUAGAGGGUGAGAACCCCGUUAACGGCCUCAGUCUUAUGCUCAUGUGAAUCUUCUUCAACGAGUCGAAUUGUUUGGGAAUGCAGUUCUAAAUGGGUGGUAAAUUCCAUCUAAAGCUAAAUACUGGCAAGAGACCGAUAGCGCACAAGUAGAGUGAUCGAAAGAUGAAAAGAACUCUGAACAGAGAGUUAAACAGUACGUGAAAUUGUUGAAAGGGAAGCACUUGCUACCAGACGCACUUGCAGUCGAUCAACCUCCAUUUUUUGGUGGUGCACUCGGUUGUAGGUGGGCCAGCAUCAGUUAUUAGCGGUGGGAUAAAGACUUUGGGAAUGUGGCUUCCCUCGGGGAGUGUUAUAGCCCUUGGUGUAAUACCAUCUGUUGUGACUGAGGACCGCGCUUUUGUGAGGAUGCUGGCAUAAUGGUCGUAAGUGACCCGUCUUGAAACACGGACCAAGGAGUCUAACAUCUAUGCGAGUGUUUGGGUGUUAAAACCCUUACGCGAAAUGAAAGUGAAUGGAGGUGGGAACCGCAAGGUGCACCAUCGACCGAUCCGGAUGUCUUCGGAAGGAUUUGAGUAGGAGCAUAGCUGUUGGGACCCGAAAGAUGGUGAACUAUGCCUGAAUAGGGUGAAGCCAGAGGAAACUCUGGUGGAGGCUCGCAGCGGUUCUGACGUGCAAAUCGAUCGUCAAAUUU
This 814-nucleotide ribosomal RNA is filed under the name Elaiopezia obtusapiculata. Its description in RNAcentral is "eukaryotic LSU rRNA". It matches the Rfam family "Eukaryotic large subunit ribosomal RNA", at positions 84 to 912 of the family's 3401-position model. Lineage: Eukaryota; Fungi; Ascomycota; Pezizomycetes; Pezizales; Pezizaceae. The record is from RNAcentral.